This 248-nucleotide ribosomal RNA is filed under the name uncultured bacterium. RNAcentral's name for it is "partial 16S ribosomal RNA". It matches the Rfam family "Bacterial small subunit ribosomal RNA", at positions 334 to 599 of the family's 1533-position model. The record is from RNAcentral.
UGCACCUACGGGGGGCAGCAGUGGGGAAUAUUGCACAAUGGGGGGAACCCUGAUGCAGCGACGCCGCGUGGGUGAAGAAGUCAUUCGUGACGUAAAGCCCUAUCAGCAGGGAAGAAAAUGACGGUACCUGACUAAGAAGCCCCGGCUAACUACGUGCCAGCAGCCGCGGUAAUACGUAGGGGGCUAGCGUUAUCCGGAAUUACUGGGCGUAAAGGGUGCGUAGGUGGUUUCUUAAGUCAGAGGUGAAA